Molecule: ribosomal RNA, 368 nt
Filed under: uncultured organism
Description: bacterial SSU rRNA
Rfam family: Bacterial small subunit ribosomal RNA
Source: RNAcentral
CGGAGGGUGCAAGCGUUAUCCGGAUUCACUGGGUUUAAAGGGUGCGUAGGUGGGCAAGUAAGUCAGUGGUGAAAUCUCCGGGCUUAACCCGGAAACUGCCAUUGAUACUAUUUGUCUUGAAUACUGUGGAGGUCAGCGGAAUAUGUCAUGUAGCGGUGAAAUGCUUAGAUAUGACAUAGAACACCAAUUGCGAGGGCAGCUGGCUACACAAAUAUUGACACUGAGGCACGAAAGCGUGGGGAUCAAACAGGAUUAGAUACCCUGGUAGUCCACGCCCUAAACUAUGGAUACUCGACAUUUGCGAUAAACUGCAAGUGUCUGAGCGAAAGCAUUAAGUAUCCCACCUGGGAAGUACGAUCGCAAGAUUG